This 634-nucleotide ribosomal RNA is filed under the name Russula aff. amethystina r-02013. Its description in RNAcentral is "LSU rRNA". It matches the Rfam family "Eukaryotic large subunit ribosomal RNA", at positions 41 to 649 of the family's 3401-position model. The record is from RNAcentral. Lineage: Eukaryota; Fungi; Basidiomycota; Agaricomycetes; Russulales; Russulaceae.
UAUCAAUAAGCGGAGGAAAAGAAACUAACAAGGAUUCCCCUAGUAACUGCGAGUGAAGCGGGAAAAGCUCAAAUUUAAAAUCUGGUGGCCUUUGGUCAUCCGAGUUGUAAUUUAGAGAAGCGUCUUCCGCGCUGGACCGUGCACAAGUCUCCUGGAACGGAGCGUCAUAGAGGGUGAGAAUCCCGUCUUUGGCACGGACAUGCCAGGGCUUUUGUGAUGCGCUCUCGAAGAGUCGAGUUGUUUGGGAAUGCAGCUCAAAAUGGGUGGUGAACUCCAUCUAAAGCUAAAUAUUGGCGAGAGACCGAUAGCGAACAAGUACCGUGAGGGAAAGAUGAAAAGCACUUUGGAAAGAGAGUGAAACAGUACGUGAAAUUGUUGAAAGGGAAACGCUUGAAGUCAGUCGCGUCGACCGAGACUCAGCCUUGCCUUGGCUUGGUGUACUUCUCGGCUGACGGGUCAGCAUCAAUUUUGCCCCUUGGAUAAUGGCGAGGGAAAUGUGACACCUUUACGGUGUGUUAUAGUCUCUUGUCGCAUGCAAGGGUUGGGAUUGAGGAACUCAGCACGCGCCUUUGGGUGUCGGGGUAUUCGCCCACGAUACGUGCUUAGGAUGUUGGCGUAAUGGCUUUAAACGACC